UAUUAGAAAUAGUUGAAUAAACAAAAAAAUAUCUCAAAAUCAUCAUAGUCUCCAUAUACAAAUCUUAAAGCAAACCUCCAUAGUGCACAUAGUGAUAGAGAAAUCAGCAGUAAAGCAUGUUAAAUGAGAGAUUGGUAGCUAAGCACAUUGAUCAUUGAAUCUCCCUAUAGAAAGCACUGAUUUGCACCAAAAAAAAAUAAACUCAAAAAUCCUAGAUUAAGGAUUAAGAAAAAUAAAUCUCAGAGAAGAUUAAGAAAGCAUGAAAGAAGUAGAGGAGCCCCGGCUACCGUUGGGAAGAAACAUCGGCCAAAGGAGAAGCCCUAGCCGUCG
RNAcentral lists this long non-coding RNA (330 nucleotides) under Elaeis guineensis (African oil palm). RNAcentral's name for it is "long non-coding RNA (EGUI_LNC015817)". The record is from RNAcentral. Lineage: Eukaryota; Viridiplantae; Streptophyta; Magnoliopsida; Arecales; Arecaceae.